UACAGAGGUCCCAAGCGUUGUUCGGAUUCAUUGGGCGUAAAGGGUGCGUAGGCGGCGCGGUAAGUCGGGUGUGAAAUCUCGGAGCUUAACUCCGAAACUGCAUUCGAUACUGCCGUGCUUGAGGACUGGAGAGGAGACCGGAAUUUACGGUGUAGCGGUGAAAUGCGUAGAUAUCGUAAGGAAGACCAGUGGCGAAGGCGGGUCUCUGGACAGUUCCUGACGCUGAGGCACGAAGGCCAGGGGAGCAAACGGG
RNAcentral lists this ribosomal RNA (253 nucleotides) under uncultured bacterium. RNAcentral describes it as "partial 16S ribosomal RNA". It matches the Rfam family "Bacterial small subunit ribosomal RNA", at positions 524 to 776 of the family's 1533-position model. The record is from RNAcentral.